This 87-nucleotide transfer RNA is filed under the name Bacteriophage sp. RNAcentral describes it as "tRNA-Ile". It matches the Rfam family "tRNA". Rfam says of the family: Transfer RNA (tRNA) molecules are approximately 80 nucleotides in length. The record is from RNAcentral.
GCAACCAUGACGGAAUUGGUAGACGUAUCGGUACUUAAUGUGCCGAAGCCAGAGAGUGGCGUGCAGGUUCAAAUCCUGCUGGUUGCA